This is a non-coding RNA of Labrus bergylta (ballan wrasse), 762 nucleotides long. NCBI's taxonomy places the organism in Eukaryota, Metazoa, Chordata, Actinopteri, Labriformes, Labridae. The record is from RefSeq and is a predicted model, not a curated record.
UUUCUGUUUUGUUUUUUUAUUGUAGAAGUUCUUUGAAAUGAUGGACGAAACGCAUGGACAGAUGACAGUGAUGGUACUCAUUAAGCUCUUGGAGAAACAGCGGCGAUUGCCUUGUCCCAAAGACUGCCCACAUGAGGUGAAGAUGUUAAUGGAGCAGUGUUGGGCUGCAGAACCUGCACAACGGCUGUCCUUUGGAUCCCUCAUCCAGAAGUUUGAGGGUAUUCGUCAAAAAUAUGACUGGCAGUCGAAUAUAGACUUUUCUUCGGCUCAGAUUUGCUGAUCGGGACUCUGAAAAUCUACCUGUCCUCUUGUGAUCACUUUGCCACUGUAGCAGCCAUAUACAGUAUGAAUAUAGGGUAGCUAUUAAUUUGUUUGCCUGCUGCAUUCAUUUGAAUAGUUAUCUUAUGCUGUUGGUUCCUUUUUGAUAAAAGCACACAGCUCCUCUCUUGAUGAACUCAGUCAAUGUAAAUUGUUUCUUGGCUGAUGAGUUUACCAGAGAUAAUAUAAGGUGAUGUCGUUAGCAGACAGGCAACAAGUGUCAGCCUUUGUCUUUUGAAAGUUCAAGUUUGCAACAUCACUUCAUGUAUUAAGAAUUUCUCUAUGCUUGUAAGAAUAAUGUCUUAAAUUUUAGGUUUAUCUUUGUAUGUUUCCUAAUCGUAUGUUUAAUUGGGUUUUAUUUUAUAUACCAGUAUACCAAAAGAACAACAGAACAGUCUUUUGAAAUGUUAUUCAUUUGCAUUGUUAUUAAAUACUUAAACAGUC